Molecule: long non-coding RNA, 146 nt
Organism: Melanotaenia boesemani (Boeseman's rainbowfish)
Lineage: Eukaryota; Metazoa; Chordata; Actinopteri; Atheriniformes; Melanotaeniidae
Exons: 3
Source: RefSeq, a predicted model, not a curated record
GCAGCUAGUGGUCCCUCCUGGAUACCUGAUGCCGGUGCACGACCCCCGCCCCGCUGCAACCACCCAGAGCGCCUGCUGCUCACAGAAGAGGAAGCGAGAUGACCACAGCGAGCCACCAUACGUUAAGAAGCCACCCAACGCCUUCA